RNAcentral lists this ribosomal RNA (468 nucleotides) under uncultured bacterium. Its description in RNAcentral is "partial 16S ribosomal RNA". It matches the Rfam family "Bacterial small subunit ribosomal RNA", at positions 28 to 507 of the family's 1533-position model. The record is from RNAcentral.
GACGAACGCUGGCGGCGUGCUUAACACAUGCAAAUCGAACGGAAAGGCCCUGCUUUUGUGGGGUGCUCGAGUGGCGAACGGGUGAGUAACACGUGAGUAACCUGCCCUUGACUUUGGGAUAACUUCAGGAAACUGGGGCUAAUACCGGAUAGGAGCUCCUGCUGCAUGGUGGGGGUUGGAAAGUUUCGGCGGUUGGGGAUGAACUCGCGGCUUAUCAGCUUGUUGGUGGGGUAGUGGCCUACCAAGGCUUUGACGGGUAGCCGGCCUGAGAGGGUGACCGGCCACAUUGGGACUGAGAUACGGCCCAGACUCCUACGGGAGGCAGCAGUGGGGAAUAUUGCACAAUGGGCGGAAGCCUGAUGCAGCAACGCCGCGUGCGGGAUGACGGCCUUCGGGUUGUAAACCGCUUUCGCCUGUGACGAAGCGUGAGUGACGGUAAUGGGUAAAGAAGCACCGGCUAACUACGUG